This 100-nucleotide Y RNA is filed under the name Neogale vison (American mink). Its description in RNAcentral is "Neovison vison (American mink) Y RNA (ENSNVIG00000020302.1)". It matches the Rfam family "Y RNA". From Rfam's summary of the family: Y RNAs are components of the Ro ribonucleoprotein particle (Ro RNP), in association with Ro60 and La proteins. The Y RNAs and Ro60 and La proteins are well conserved, but the function of the Ro RNP is not known. In humans the RNA component can be one of four small RNAs -- hY1, hY3, hY4 and hY5. The record is from Rfam by way of RNAcentral. Lineage: Eukaryota; Metazoa; Chordata; Mammalia; Carnivora; Mustelidae.
GACUGAUCGGAGUGCAAUGAUGUUUACAAUUAAUUGAUCACAGCCAGUUACAGAUGUCUUUGUUCUUUCUUCACUCCCACUACUUUACUUGAAUAGAAGU